CCUACGGGAGGCAGCAGUGAGGAAUAUUGGUCAAUGGCCGCAGGGCUGAACCAGCCAAGUCGCGUGAGGGAUGACGGUCCUAUGGAUUGUAAACCUCUUUUGUCAGGGAGCAAAGGGCGCCACGUGUGGCGCUUUGCGAGUACCUGAAGAAAAAGCAUCGGCUAACUCCGUGCCAGCAGCCGCGGUAAUACGGAGGAUGCGAGCGUUAUCCGGAUUUAUUGGGUUAAAAGGGUGCGCAGGCGGAAUGUCAAGUCAGCGGUAAAAUUUCGGGGCUCAACCCCGUCGUGCCGUUGAAACUGGCGUUCUUGAGUGAGCGAGAAGUAUGCGGAGUGCGUGGUGUAGCGGUGAAAUGCAUAGAUAUCACGCAGAACUCCGAUUGCGAAGGCAGCAUACCGGCGCUCAACUGACGCUCAUGCACGAAAGCGUGGGUAUCGAACAGGAUUAGAUACCCCAGUAGUC
RNAcentral lists this ribosomal RNA (459 nucleotides) under uncultured bacterium. Its description in RNAcentral is "partial 16S ribosomal RNA". It matches the Rfam family "Bacterial small subunit ribosomal RNA", at positions 338 to 795 of the family's 1533-position model. The record is from RNAcentral.